RNAcentral lists this long non-coding RNA (3118 nucleotides) under Homo sapiens (human). Its description in RNAcentral is "HSALNT0360945". The record is from RNAcentral. Lineage: Eukaryota; Metazoa; Chordata; Mammalia; Primates; Hominidae.
UCCAGCUUUUGGAUGCUGGUGCUGUGAAGGGUGGUGGGUGAGGGAGCCAGCAGCUGAGUGGGCAUGGGGAAUUGCAGUUUUCCUUCUAGCCUUAUUUUGGAAAAUGCUAAACUUACAGGGCAAUGGCAGUGGCCACCAGUGAGUGUCGGUGAGUCCUUCACCUCCACGGGGCUCCCCUCUUGGCCGUGAGUGUGCAGGCCUGGGGCAUGUGCAGGCUGGCACUUCAGUCUCUGAAACCCUGCGCACUGAGGGGUCAGUCAGCUGGGCAGAGGGACCGCCAGGGCCACCCAGGGUCUGUCCUGACUGCCCACGGCCCUGUGUCUCAGCCCUGGUGCGCGUUCCCGCCCUCUUGCACGCCCGGAUCUGGAUGUGAAUCACACAGGUGUGCGGGCAUCGGGUGGAUGGGCCAUUUCUCCUGGGCCAGACUGAGCUCUGACCUGGGUGUGAACCUAGCAGCAGACAUCCCCUGUAGGACAGUGGCCUGGAGCAGGCCCCUUGCAGGGCCUUCAAGGCAGGGCCAGCCCCUCAGACACAGCAGGGAGGCUGGUGAUGACCUGGGCUCCAGGUUCUCAGCUUCAUCUGGACCAACUGUGCUGUUCUAUGUGAGUCCUGGGGCCCUGACCGAGUCUGGGGCUCCCUUCCUAGCAGACACUCAGACCUCGCCCAAGAGGCUUUGAGACUGACUUCCGCCCAUAUCCCUAGAUGUUCCUACUACGGGGGAUUUAUUUCUCUCUGUUUCAUUAGCUUCCUCUGUCCCUUUAGCCACGAGCCCAGCCCAGGUCUUCCUGCUGUGGGUCCCAGCUCUGAAAGUCACGUUGAAUCAUGGCCAUGUUAGGAACUGGAGAAACCUAGGGCUCAGGGUACAGAGUUUCACUAGUUGGGCUUCUGUGUUGGGGCCUCCGUGGGCUGGCUUUGUGGCUUCAGGAGUCCUUGACGCUUGUUCUCAAUGUGGGGGUGAUAUUGACCCUGAGAGGGCACAAGGGGUUCUUGGGGGAGGAAACUUCUGGGGUUUGGCGGCCGUGUGUGCCUCCCCAGCACAGCUCCUGGAUUUCUUGCUCCUUAGUAUUUCAUUGUCCCUGGGUUUUCUGGGUGUCCCAGCACAUGGAUACGGAGUUCUCGGAAGCCCGCGACACAUGUGCGAUCUCAGACCUGCUGUGAGGUGGGUGGGGAGGGUGGGCAGGCGCCUGCGGAUGCCGUUUGUGUGGGAUCCUCAGUGCUGGUGUGAGACUCUGGCUUGGAGAAUUGAAUGAGAAUCGUCGACAUUUUGUGAUUUAAUUCCACAGAACGUAUUUAGCCCAUCGCUAAUGAUGUCAGUUUGCUGAAAGAAUACCAGCCAGCCAGUUAAAAGGUACUUUCUCACAUCAAGCAAAAGCUUCAGUUCACUAAGGAUAUUUUUUAUUGUGUUUAUAUAAGUUGUUUAUUUCUACGUGUGAUUUGAUACAUUACAAUUUAUGUAAAUAAAUUACACUCAGCGCUGCUCAGCGCAUAGUCAUGAAGUGCUAGAAGCAUUUUAGUUUUUAAUUGAACUUCGUUCGACUUAGUUAUGCUAACCUGGCGUUAGCGCUGAGACUCGUUGAGCCUUGCUUGCAGUGUUUACAUGCCAAGUGCAGGUGCAUGCGUGGCACACAGACACAAACAGCACCUCCACAGCCUCGCAGCGUCAUGGGGUGGGAACGGUGAGAAGGUUUAAAAAGGCUCCGCAGGGGGCCAGUCAUGGAAGUGGCCAGGAAACCCUGGUCUCCUGCCGCCUGCGUGUGGCCAGCCGUGCUUCAGGGGCGACUGUGGUGCGGCUCCUUGGGGUGAUGUCUCCUGGCAGGCGUGAGGCCAGGACUGCAUGUGUUCAGGACUCCACGUCCUGGGCUGAGCUGGGCUCUUCCGGGGCUCUGUCAAGGCAGAAAGUGUGGCCCAAGGAAGCAGCGGCACUCUCAGUCGGAAACGUAUUCCUAACAGGUGUCGGGCAGAAAGUGUGGCCCAAGGAAGCAGCGGCUCUCUCCGUUGGAGACGUGUCACCAACAGGAAUAUUCACAGUGGGUGUUUAAUUUGUGUGCUUAAAAAGAAAAAUUAGCUUUGGAUUGACUACACACAUUGCAUGACAAAAAAGAAGAAUUAAGACUUUAUUUCUGUGCCAAAACUAAAACUUAGACUUGAAGAGAAAUUGUUUUAAAUAGAAGUGAAUGUUGGAGACCUCUUUUCUUUCGUGUGGAAAGGUACGCUGCAGUGGUUUAGAGCUCUGGCGUCAGUGAGGGAGGAAUGGUCGUCAGUCACAGGCUUGCGUCGUGAUCCUCUGAGAGCGGCACAUGGGGGAGGAGAAUCAGCAAUUCCAAGAAAUUUGAAGUUACAUUUUAAAACUAUAUUUAAAACAGACUAAUAUUUAUAAAAGUAGCUUUUAUUUUCAGAGAAGAUAAAAUGCUGUGAGCUCUGUGGGAUGAGAGCCCUACCCUGUCCUUUUUAUUUUAAAAGUAAUUCACGAAUGUUUUUAAAAAGUUUCUAAAAAUAACUAGCAGGAUAUAAAAGUAUAAAUAAAUUGAAAUAGAAUCUUCCCUGCCUGUUUCCCUCGAGUUCCAUUCCUGAAUGCUCCUCCAGAGUUGGUGUCGACAGAGGCCUCCUUAUGGCUCCCUGCAGCAGGUCGUGCCGCACCUCCGCCUCCGCCUCCGUCCCCCGAGUCUCCAUGUGUUCGCGGCAGGGACCGCCGGCUCCUGUAAUGAGCAGUCCCACUGUCUUUAACGGACACCUAAAGAGUGCAGAGCAAGGAGAUGGAGCGCUGGACGCCUUCAAAUACCGGGACAACCAGGAUCCAGAGCAGCGAGGGACCCACAGUGCUCCCUCAGAGGCCUCUGGACCCCACGCCCACACGUCCCUGUGACCACCCACACCCUCCCCCGACUGGCUUCUCCAUGCUGCUGUCUCCGGGACAUGAGUCGCCUGUCUGUCCCCCACGUGUGGCCAGGAGGGCAUGAGCCACCUGUCUGUCCCCUACGUGUGCCCAGGAGGGCACGAGCCGCCUGUCUGUCUGCCAUGUGUGCCCAGGAGAUACGGUGCUUUUCCUGCCAUGUCCUCAGAGCUGUGCAUGUGGCACACAGGAAGCAGUUGUCACAAAUAAACAGGAAUUUGGCCUGUG